GACGAACGCUGGCGGCGUGCCUAAUACAUGCAAGUCGAGCGAAGUUUUUCUGGUGCUUGCACUAGAAAAACUUAGCGGCGAACGGGUGAGUAACACGUAAAGAACCUGCCUCAUAGACUGGGACAACUAUUGGAAACGAUAGCUAAUACCGGAUAACAGUAUUUCUCGCAUGAGAGAUAUUUAAAAGUUGGUUAUGCUAACACUAUGAGAUGGCUUUGCGGUGCAUUAGCUAGUUGGUGGGGUAAAGGCCUACCAAGGCGACGAUGCAUAGCCGACCUGAGAGGGUGAUCGGCCACACUGGGACUGAGACACGGCCCAGACUCCUACGGGAGGCAGCAGUAGGGAAUCUUCCGCAAUGGGCGAAAGCCUGACGGAGCAACGCCGCGUGAGUGAAGAAGGAUUUCGGUUCGUAAAGCUCUGUUGUUAGGGAAGAAUGGAUAUGUAGUAACUAUACAUAUAAGAGACGGUACCUAACCAGAAAGUCACGGCUAACUACGUGCCAGCAGCCGCGGUAAUACGUAGGUGGCAAGCGUUGUCCGGAAUUAUUGGGCGUAAAGCGCGCGCAGGUGGUUUAAUAAGUCUGAUGUGAAAGCCCACGGCUCAACCGUGGAGGGUCAUUGGAAACUGUUAAACUUGAGUGCAGGAGAGAAAAGUGGAAUUCCUAGUGUAGCGGUGAAAUGCGUAGAGAUUAGGAGGAACACCAGUGGCGAAGGCGGCUUUUUGGCCUGUAACUGACACUGAGGCGCGAAAGCGUGGGGAGCAAACAGG
This 768-nucleotide ribosomal RNA is filed under the name uncultured bacterium. Its description in RNAcentral is "bacterial SSU rRNA". It matches the Rfam family "Bacterial small subunit ribosomal RNA", at positions 28 to 776 of the family's 1533-position model. The record is from RNAcentral.